This 220-nucleotide ribosomal RNA is filed under the name Clostridioides difficile. RNAcentral's name for it is "partial 23S ribosomal RNA". It matches the Rfam family "Bacterial large subunit ribosomal RNA", at positions 346 to 568 of the family's 2925-position model. Lineage: Bacteria; Bacillati; Bacillota; Clostridia; Peptostreptococcales; Peptostreptococcaceae. The record is from RNAcentral.
AAAGACCCACCACAGAAGGUAAUAGUCCUGUAUGUUAAACGAGAAGACUUUAGAUAUGAUCCAGAGUACCACGGGACACGUGAAACCCUGUGGGAAGCAGGAGGGACCACCCUCCAAGGCUAAAUACUACCUAGUGACCGAUAGCGUAUAGUACCGUGAGGGAAAGGUGAAAAGAACCCCGGGAGGGGAGUGAAAUAGAACCUGAAACCCUGCACUUACA